GAGCUAAUUUCUAAUAUAUGUUGAUUUAACGAGGCAUGAUGUCGUCUAAAAAAAUGGAACAUAAAUUAACCAGGCACAGCUAAAUAUGUGCAUGGUUUACUACUACUCGCCAAGAGAUUGGCUAGACAUGCAUGCAGAGCCAACAGAUUGUCGACAUGUUGUCAAAAGUCGAAACUCAAAUCAACCACUAUUUUUUCUCUGUUUGACGGAAUUACGUACUAUUGUAGAAACAGACACUGUGUUUCCAAAUCUUAAAUUUUUUGAGUGCAUGUAUGUAACACAAACCGCCACUUAACUUUUGACAUGAGCAAAAGCUGAUGAUUUGCCUCCCCUCACAUGGUUAGUCGUGUUUUCAUCAUUCUAAUGAAGCACUACUAGUAUCAAACGAAGGUAAGCUGCUGCCGGAAAAGAAGACAGGGAAAGAUCCACCGAGGAAAACCUGCAGCCACACACGCGGUAGCUUUAGACCUCAGCCUCAACCCAUUUAACCCCUUUUCCUCCUCCAACCGGCUCCCCACUACGCCGCCCUCCA
This 532-nucleotide long non-coding RNA is filed under the name Setaria viridis. RNAcentral describes it as "long non-coding RNA (SVIR_LNC002086)". The record is from RNAcentral. Lineage: Eukaryota; Viridiplantae; Streptophyta; Magnoliopsida; Poales; Poaceae.